This 213-nucleotide ribosomal RNA is filed under the name Clostridioides difficile. RNAcentral's name for it is "partial 16S ribosomal RNA". It matches the Rfam family "Bacterial small subunit ribosomal RNA", at positions 1326 to 1533 of the family's 1533-position model. The record is from RNAcentral. Lineage: Bacteria; Bacillati; Bacillota; Clostridia; Peptostreptococcales; Peptostreptococcaceae.
CUGGAGUUACUAGUAAUCGCAGAUCAGAAUGCUGCGGUGAAUGCGUUCCCGGGUCUUGUACACACCGCCCGUCACACCACGGGAGGUGGAGACGCCCGAAGCCGAUUAUCUAACCUUUUGGAAGAAGGCGUCGAAGGUGGAAUCAAUAACUGGGGUGAAGUCGUAACAAGGUAGCCGUAUCGGAAGGUGCGGCUGGAUCACCUCCUUUCUAAG